GAUUUUUGUCUGUCUGUUUCAUGGUAUUUAGGAAUGUUUAUUUAAAUUACUAAUGUGAAAAUAAACCUUGAUUAAUCCAGAGCUACGCUGUGAUUAAUCUGAUUAAACCUGUAAUCGAUUGACAGCCCUGAUUAAUGUAGGUCAAUAGACAACCUUUCUAUUUUUUGUAGUGUUGUAGUGUAUUUUCUAAUCUUUUGGGCUUGUUUUUAUUCGGAUGCUUGUUUCCCCCAAUCUGGCAACCCGGACUUAACUUUCACGCUUUAAGGCCGAUAAGAGAGGCGUAUUAUUUAUCUGCUACGACGGCAACGGAUAAUUUCGAAACAAACGAAUCUAAGUUUUGUUUUUUAAAUUAUCCUUGUUUUUUUAUUUGUAUUAAUUACCGUGUAUGACAUUCACAAAUUAAAUCACGGCGUUCAAAAUGUCGUCGCUGACUCUGAGGAAAAAGGUAACGUAGCCAGGUAUGUAGCCAUUAGCUCGUGUCACGGUUAACGUUCAUCAGGGAGUGUCUGUACUUCAACGGAAGACAUGAAGCAGAAAAGGCAGAAAAAACAUGAUGAGCUGAUUAGCAGGUGGGCAGUUUGAAGAGUGCAGCUUUGAUGUUGGAGUGGAGAAGAUCACCAUGGGAACAGACACCUUCGUGGGCAUCGACAUGGAGGGGGGCAUGGAGCGUCACUUGCUGUAGAAAACCUGCCUGGUUUGAGGUUCGAUUCCACGCCUGGUUGCUGUAGGAUGGACACAAGGUGAAAGGCAGAGCUACGUCACACUACGACUUAUAUGAAACGAGAGACGGAUACUGAUCAGGAUGAGAGGAGGACGGAGGCAGGACCAGGACAAGGACCAGGACAAGGACAAGGACAAGGACCAGGACCAGUACAAGGACCAGGACCAGGGCAGACACAAAUGAGCGUUACACCUGUGUGGAGUCCACAGCUGAAGGUGACCAGUGACUGCGUCUGAAUAAUGGUUCUGUGGUUUUGACCUGUGACCUGUGACCUAGUCUACUGAUACUACUGACGGAGCAGAGGAACUGGUACCUGCUCAACACACCAUAGUCGGCUGGGCGGGAUUCAAACCACCUCUGAUAACAACUUUGAACAAGUAUUUAAACCUAAAAUAUCGAGUAUGAAAAAAAAAAUUCACAAAACUCCCUGGGAUUCCCUGACGUACCACUGAAGGUCAGCGUACCCCCAGUUGGAAAAGACUGAUAUGUAGUAAUGUUUACAUAGGUUUUAUGCCCAUGUGUUGAUAAGAUAUUAACACUUGGCUGACAUUAAACUGGAUGAAGUGUUUGAAUCAGUAUCAGGAGGCUCCAGGACGCGAGGCCAACACCUCGGCUGCUGCUCUCGGCCCGUCUUGCAUCAGGGGUUGUUUGCAUUACAGGAACGACUCUGUUCCUACUCAUGUAAUUUAAUUACAGUGGACUUUGGCAUGCCCAGGCGGUGCCCCCGUGGAGCGGCGCAGAGUGCCAGCCGGGAACAUCCUGUCACGGGCGACAGGAACAUCAGAUGCGACAGAUGGCUCAUAAAUCAUGAAGGUGCGUGCGCGGCGCUGACGGGAGGCCUUCCUCUGGAGAGCACGCUGCGAGCAGGUGGGCAGCCGGAGCCACAUGAGUCCUGGACCAGUUUGAGAAAACGCCCGGUGUCAGAGCGGUGGAGCAGCGGAGCUGGGAGGGGAAAUCAUCAGAAUAACAAAAAAAAAAAAUGUCAUUGUCAGUCCUGUUGCGUCUUUCACAUUUGAAGGUGUGACUGAAGACGGAGAGCAGACUGUCUCCGUCUCACAGUGUGUCACCAUAUGGCAGCGCUCUCACCUCACAAACCGGAGCGACUGUUGUGGAACAGAACAGGAUCGUGUGUGUGGAGCAGCGACGCCGCAGCAUAAAACAAAGACCAUAUGGUUCAGUGCCCGCCUUUAUUUUUACGGUUGUUUCACAUGUAAAUUCUGCAGAGAAAGACGGGAGUGGGCGCAGAUUUCUUCUCCGCUCCAACACUAAGCCAGCUUUCAUCCUCCAGUUACGGUUUCACGUUUACAUCGCCGCGGAAGAAGACGGAGAUUUUUUUUUUUACUGUCGUAAUCCUGAGACCUGCUGUAGGCCGUGAAGUUAAACAAGAAGAGGACUCGACCCUCCAGUUUAUUUACAUCGUGUACCACCACCAACAUACACACAUAUAGUACAGUACAAUGAAGUAGUACUACAGCUUGUACUUCAGUUUUAUUCUAAGACUACACAAGUACAAACCCACCCACAAAUUGAAUGAAAAUACGUUAAAAAA
Molecule: long non-coding RNA, 2270 nt
Organism: Cynoglossus semilaevis (tongue sole)
Lineage: Eukaryota; Metazoa; Chordata; Actinopteri; Pleuronectiformes; Cynoglossidae
Exons: 5
Source: RefSeq, a predicted model, not a curated record